UGGCAGUUUCCUUUCUUCCAGAUCAACUUUAAAUUUGGCCUGAGAGAGGCGCCUAAGGGCUUCUUCCUAUAAGGAAACGCCACCGAGCUACAGCCAAUCAGAGGCAGUCUUUCAAAGCGGUUUAGCCAAUGGCACCGCAGAUUCAGAGCUCCCGCCUUGCUGGCUCAGGAAGCGCGUGGGUCGGAGGCUGCUGGAUGACUGCGCGCUAAUUCCGAACAAAGGGAAAAUAUUGACCCUGACGUCCUCCACCGUGUCGGAGCUGUGCAUUAUAAAUGGGGGGCAGGAGGCUGAAGCUCCUGGCAGACUCCUAUUGGUAUCUUUCUGCUCAGAAAGAUGUGGGUGGCAGUCCUCCAAAACCCUUCACCCUUGUGGUCCUGCAGCUGCCCAAGCUAGAUACAGGUCACUUUGAAGUCUAUGAAUCCCUGGAUCUCAUCUUGAUCUUAGUGGGUGAAGACUCAGAACUGCCUUGUCUCCGCUCACCCAGUGUGAGUGCUGAAUAUAUGGAGCUACGCUGGUUCCAGAAUCCAUUCUCGCCUGCAGUGUUGGUGCACCGUGAAGGCCAAGAGCUGGAGGAAGAGCAGGCGCUUGAGUAUCAAGGACGGUGACAACAGUGCAGUACAACGUCACUUUGGGGCAUGUUACUCUGAAGAUACACCAGGACUUUGAUGAAGGGGUUUAUGGGUGUUCCUUCAGGGAUAAACAAGCCCAUGGAGAAGCCUUCAUCUAUCUGAAAGUAGCUGGGUACCUGAGCGUCUGCAGAUUUUGGUAUUCAAGGGGACCCUGGAGCCGUUUCCCACUCACACCAAAGGACACCUGCAUCGUCAUGAGUAAACUUUGUUAAAUGGAGAUUGGCACAGUCAUAUGCAGUUAAUGUCACUCUGGAUGAGAACACGGCCCUCCCCCAGCUGGUCCUGAUUCCAAAUCAGCUUGCCUGGCAGGUUCAAGUCAGACAUUACCUGAUACACAAUGUUAAGAAUUGUAACGAGAGGAAGCUUACUCAUGGCAACACUUGACAACAAUGUAAAACAUGUCUUUUUUCUGAACAUAAUUUAUUUGUAUGCCACUGCUUUGUUUCCAUAAUUUUGCAUUUUCUUUUUAUUAAAUCCAUUUCUCCAUCCAAGUAGCAACUAGAUCAGACACUUUCAGGGUGGUUUCCGGUUCCCUAUAACCUGAAACCCUUUGUAUCAUGCUGUGCUAACCUUAGGGUAAAGCACUAUGCUGACUAUGAAGAACCUUUAUUUAUUAGAAGCUGUUAUUGUUUUUAAAUGAUUACUAUUUAUACAGUGUUCUGGAACCAUCUCUAUGAAUUCUGGUUGCCUCUAUUUUUUUAUUCCCAUAAACUGCAGUGUUUGGAGUUUUGAUUUUGAAGAAUUCGCUUCAGUUUGUCGUCCUCUGGAAAAUAUUGAUUCAGUUGUUGCAAAAACUUCUUGCUGGCGAGACGGUAGCGCGGGACAUCUGGUGCCGAAACCCGGG
Myodes glareolus (Bank vole) is the source of this 1473-nucleotide non-coding RNA. The record is from RefSeq and is a predicted model, not a curated record. Lineage: Eukaryota; Metazoa; Chordata; Mammalia; Rodentia; Cricetidae.